Molecule: ribosomal RNA, 502 nt
Filed under: uncultured bacterium
Lineage: Bacteria
Description: bacterial SSU rRNA
Rfam family: Bacterial small subunit ribosomal RNA
Source: RNAcentral
AUUGAACGCUGGCGGCGUGCCUAACACAUGCAAGUCGAGCGGUAACAGGUGUAGCAAUACAUGCUGACGAGCGGCGAACGGGUGAGUAAUGCUUCGGAAUCUGCCCAAUGGUGGGGAAUAACCAGCCGAAAGGUUGGCUAAUACCGCAUGAGCCCUAAGGGGGAAAGCAGGGGAUCGUAAGACCUUGCGCCGAUGGAUGAGCCGAAGUCGGAUUAGCUAGUUGGCAGGGUAACGGCCUACCAAGGCGACGAUCCGUAGCUGGUCUGAGAGGACGACCAGCCACACUGGGACUGAGACACGGCCCAGACUCCUACGGGAGGCAGCAGUGGGGAAUAUUGGACAAUGGGGGAAACCCUGAUCCAGCGACGCCGCGUGUGUGAAGAAGGCCUGCGGGUUGUAAAGCACUUUUAGUGGGGAUGAAAAGCUCAGGGUUAAUACCUUUGGGUCUUGACCUAACCCACAGAAAAGCACCGGCUAACUCUGUGCCAGCAGCCGCGGUAAU